RNAcentral lists this ribosomal RNA (318 nucleotides) under Streptomyces sp. SID8373. RNAcentral describes it as "partial 23S ribosomal RNA". It matches the Rfam family "Bacterial large subunit ribosomal RNA", at positions 2614 to 2925 of the family's 2925-position model. Lineage: Bacteria; Bacillati; Actinomycetota; Actinomycetes; Kitasatosporales; Streptomycetaceae. The record is from RNAcentral.
GAACGUCGUGAGACAGUUCGGUCCCUAUCCGCUGUGCGCGUAGGAAUAUUGAGAAGGGCUGUCCCUAGUACGAGAGGACCGGGACGGACGAACCUCUGGUGUGCCAGUUGUUCUGCCAAGGGCAUGGCUGGUUGGCUACGUUCGGAAAGGAUAACCGCUGAAAGCAUCUAAGCGGGAAGCCUGCUUCGAGAUGAGUAUUCCCACCAACUUGAUUGGUUAAGGCUCCCAGUAGACGACUGGGUUGAUAGGCCAGAUGUGGAAGCCCGGUAACGGGUGGAGCUGACUGGUACUAAUAGGCCGAGGGCUUGUCCUCAGUUG